Molecule: long non-coding RNA, 1415 nt
Organism: Mesocricetus auratus (golden hamster)
Lineage: Eukaryota; Metazoa; Chordata; Mammalia; Rodentia; Cricetidae
Exons: 6
Source: RefSeq, a predicted model, not a curated record
UGUCUUCUGAUGCCAUGUGACCAGGUGUCUGAUGAUACUGUCACUGUGACUUCCCAUGGUGAUGGAUUAUGACCUGGAACUCUGACACAGCUGAUUAAUGUGUGGACAUGUCUGUGUGUGAGCAUGCAUAUAUGUCAUAGAGACAGAAGACAAAACCAGUGAGUUCCUUCAGAGGCCUGAAAGGUGCUUCAUCCAGGACCAAACUGUCGUAAAGUGAAGUCAAUAAAUUUAUACUGAGCAUCAGAAUUGGAAGACAGAAAGAAAAGCACAACCAAUUCUCCCCAAGCAGUUGAACUUUCACAAGGAUAAUAAGUCUGUUGCCUGCUGUUUUUUAUAGUUUGUUUAAAUUACAUGAUCACAAUAGUAACUCAAGAUCAGGGUAGGGGAUGAUCAUCUGAACAGAUGAAUUUUGCUAUUCUUACCUUGCUUCUAAGAAAUUUCCACAGAGUAAAACUCAGAUGAGGUGAUAUGUUUGACUUGGGCACGCACAGCGGUGGAGAGGAGUGAAGAGGAGCUCCACUGAACAAAGAAGAGGGCAGACUGCCAAACACAAUGGAGAGUGUUCAGGCUAAAAAUCCAAAAUGUUUGUUGAUAUUAAUUACUGGAAAGUGUCAUAUCUGUUUUUAAUAUUUCACCAUCUCCAGCAUCAUGGAAGGCAACAAUCAUCCCAUUUGUUGACCAGCUGUCUGGUUUGACUAAAUGAUAACCAGCCAAAGGCUCUACUUCAAUUCUUAUUUGAUAUGGGACUUGGUUGAAACAAACAGUCAGUUUGUUUCAGUCCUUCAACAGCUCACAACCCAAGACAAUACCCCUAAUCAUGAAUUCAAUACAUUGAGAAUAGAAGAGUAAAGUCUGAGGAAAAGCAGAACUGAUUAGUGUUGUAUUUAUGUUCCAUAUUUCUCUAUGUCACAUACAAUUUGUUAAGAAGCAGAUAUUGAUGUCCACAUGGAAAGCUAGAGAGUUCAUGUUGACUAGGAAUUUAGAGAAUAUCAUACAAAAUGUCUAUUCCCCUAUAAUAAGCUAAGAUGUUGGGUACUAUCAUUAUGCCUGUAUUAUAGACACAGAAACAAUAGCAUCUAAUAUGUGCCAGGCAUUAUGCUAACUUCUGGAACACAGUGAAAUUCAUAUAGAAGCUCAAGCCCACAACUUACAUGCUAGUAAUAGAGGUAGAAAAUGAGGUUAACAAAUGAUAUUCCAUGAAAGAAAGUGAAAAAAACAAGGGAGAGAGAUAGGGAGCAUUCUUAUACAAAAGUUGUUUUCGAUUCCAGAUAUCCUACCUAAAAAAAAAAAUCUGUGCUACUUUGAUUUUGGUCUAAAAACUACUACCUGAGAUGAAUCCACAGGAAAGAAUAGUUUCUGAGCUACAUUAUGUACUCUUUCAAAUGUGCAAUAAAGAGUGAAGAAAUGUCAUAGAA